CCCACAUGGCGGUCACCACCGAUCUGUCGCCAGAGCUGCAGCUCAACGAGAACGAUGGCUUCUGAGUGGCAGUUCUGAAAACCAAAAACACAAUUAACAUAUUGGUUUAUAGGCACAACUCCACAAAGGUAAGCGCUGAAUGGGUUUAUGUUUUUUGUGCUCUUAAACCAUUAUUUUUGCGGCCUUCAGUCGUCCUCUACACAAAAACAAACUACAAUGCAAAAAGUCCAGAUGUGAAUGGGAUAAACUUGAAUACACCACGAAUUACUAACUAGAAUUACACACACCAAAGGACAUGAAGGACGACUAAGAGCUGUGCCUAUGGCUGAACACAAACAAACAAAGAGACUGAGAGCUGUACCAAAAACUGAACACAAACUCGCAAGGUAAUUCGUUGGCUCGUUGCUUUUCCUUUGCUGUACUUUAAAUAAUUUGUUUUGACAGCUCGGCAGGUAAAAUGUAAUCGGGUCUGAAGGCUGCCAACAUUUUACAUGCUGCACUAUUAUAUGUGUAAAACACUCCAACGACACACAUUCUCUGUGUACUUAUAUUCAUUCAAUUAAACAAACAUUUAUACUCUCACUCUCGAUGGAGAAACACUCGUACGUCAAUAUUCAUCUGUAUCUGUAUCUGAAUCUGAAUCUGAAUCGUUCUCAAUCAAGCAUCAACUAAAACAUGC
Molecule: long non-coding RNA, 679 nt
Filed under: Drosophila guanche
Lineage: Eukaryota; Metazoa; Arthropoda; Insecta; Diptera; Drosophilidae
Source: RNAcentral